RNAcentral lists this long non-coding RNA (2611 nucleotides) under Homo sapiens (human). RNAcentral's name for it is "HSALNT0299246". Lineage: Eukaryota; Metazoa; Chordata; Mammalia; Primates; Hominidae. The record is from RNAcentral.
GUAAACUACCUUUCCCACCUUAGCAACAGUCUCUUCCUCCCCUCCUCUUGCAAACGGCAUAUUUACCAUAUGUAGAAAAGUUUAAGUCUUAGCCAAUAAUUGGGUUAGAUUGUUCAGUCCAACUCAAGCCAAUGGGGAGAGGACACAGUAACAGGAGCUGCGUUAGGGAUAAAAACUUUUCUCUCCUUUGUUUGGUAUGCUCUUGCAAUCAGACGGAUGCAGGCAGCACCCUUCUGCAGAAGUAAAUGUGCCUUGCUGAGAAAUGUUCUGUCUAAGUGCUGGCUUUUCUUUGAGGCACUGAGCACUUGUUUCUAACAAAAUGGGGGCACAUCUGGGAUCCCAUUCUCCUCCGGAGAAGGGUCUCCAAUCAUCUCUUGUGAGGAGACGUGUCUCACUGCAGCAGCCUCAAGAAUGAGGGAUUGAGACCCACCAGCAUGAUGAAUAUACCGAGACUCUCAGCAACAUGGAAGGAAAAGGCCUACAGAUGCCAUGGUGACCAAGUAAUUCUGUGCACAGACCAAGGAAAGUAUAAAAGAAGGCUGGAGACACCACUUCUGUAGUCUACUUUUGGCUUUCAUUGAACACGGUGGAGAAUUCAGAAUUUUUCAUUUUCUACCAAGAAAGCUGACAGAGGAAGAUGUUUCACAAUUAUGAGACUAAUCACAACAUGAAGGCACACAGCCGUCAGGACUCUAGACUCUACUGAUGAUGAUGAAAUUGAUCAUAUAAGUGAAAUCUCAGAGCGUGAGUCUUUAUAUAACAAAAUCCUGGCUGGGCACAGUGGCUCAUGCCUGUAACCCAGCACUUUGGGAGGCCGAGGCGGGCGGAUCAUGAGGUCAGGAGAUCGAGACCAUCCUGGCUAACAUGGUGAAACCCCGUCUCUACUAAACAUACAAAAAAAUUAGCUGGGUGUGGUGGCACGCACCUGUAGUCCCAGGUACUAGGGACGGUGAGGCAGGAGAAUCGCUUGAACCCAGGAGGGGGAGGUUGCAGUGAGCCGAGAUCGCACCACUGCACUCCAGCCUGGCAACAGAGUGAGACUCCGUCUCAAAUAAUAAUAAUAAUAAUAAUAAUAAUAAUAAUAAUAAUAAUAACAACAACAACAACAACAACAAUAAUAUCCUAGCUGAAUUUUCUCAAAUCAAAGAAUUAAUGGGUGAACAAAAAUAUAUCUUUAGAAAUGUAUCUCUAGAUGAAAAUGCAAUAUAGUAUUCUCAUCCAGUUUAGUCAUUUGACUCAAAGUAUCACACAAUGUCAUCACAUCUUGUUUUGCUAACAGGACUUGUGAUAGUGUUCUUUCAUCUUUAUUUUCAUCUAUUAUGAUACAAAUAAUUUUGCAAUGUUUAAAUUCUUUUAUAUACAUGAAAUAUUAUUCAGCCUUUAAAAAGAUGGAAAUCCUGUUAUUUGUGAUAACACAAAUGACCCUGGGGGACACUGUAUUAAGUAAAAUCUGCCAGGCACAGAAAGACAAAUACUGUAUGAUCCUGCUCCUAUGUGGAAUCUAAAAAAAGCUGAACUACAGAGAGUAGAGUAGCAGUAGCCAGGGGCUGAGAGUGCUGGUAAUGUGUGUGGAAUGGAGAGAUGGUGGUCAAAGGGUACAGGUUUCAGUUGUGCAGGAUGAUUACGUUCUGGAGAUCUAACGUAGAGGAUGGUGACUACUGUUAAUAAUACUGUGUUGUAUUCUUGAAAUUUGCUAAGAUAGUAGAUCUUAAAUAUUCUCAUCACACACGUAAAAAAUGCUAACUAUGUGAGGUGACGAAUGUGUUAAUUAGCCUGACUGUAGUAAUCAUUUCACAAUGUAUAUAUACAUGUAUUAAAACAUCACAUUGUAUACCUUAAAUAUAUACAAUUUUAUUUGUCAAUUUUAUCCCAAUAAAGCUAGAAAAAAAUAAAAAUAAGAAUUUUAAACAACUUUAUUCAAGCUUUGGAUCUGCUAAACUAACAAGUCAAUUUACUUGGCAAAAACAAUUUGACUAAAUGCUUGUCUUUGUACUGGUGAAAAUAAAUUAGUGAAUCGGAAAGCAUCUUUAAAGUUAUUUGUUCAUCUUUGUCCUCUCUUCACACCACAUCAAUCUAAUGUAACAGUACCCAACUCUUAAAUAGAAGGAAUGCCUAGUAAUUAAAGGUGUAAAGAAUUUGAUUGAAAGCUUAUGUUAUAUCUUUAACAUUGCGUUGAAAACAUUCAAUUAAUACUGAUGAUGAUUUCAUUUUUCUUCACUUUUCAUUGGAAAGUCAAGAUGUUUGUAAAUACAGAUUACUGAUGACAGCAAUGAGUUAAAUCUGCUCAUAAAUUUGUGUCAGUGUAUUUUGACAGGUAGAAUGUAUUGUAUAUCUAACUCCCACUGUACAUAUUUGUCUGUUUUUCCCAAUUUAUAAUAAUCCCAAAAAGGGUGCAGUAAGGGACAUACUGAUUCUAUAAUAUGUUUUUGUGUUUUCAUUUAUUUUGUAGACUCAUUUCCAAUUUAGUUAUACUACAAGCUUUGCCAUGAUUUAUGGUUAUAACUUGUUUGUGUUUGGAUAUAUAUAUUUCUAUCUGCAUACAAAGGCUCUGGUUAAUGCAGCCUGAUGUUUCAAAACUAAAAAAAAAAUCUUAUUAAAGUUCCUAGUAAAG